Molecule: ribosomal RNA, 758 nt
Filed under: uncultured bacterium
Lineage: Bacteria
Description: bacterial SSU rRNA
Rfam family: Bacterial small subunit ribosomal RNA
Source: RNAcentral
AGAGUUUGAUCAUGGCUCAGAAUCAACGCUGGCGGCGCGCCUAACACAUGCAAGUCGAACGAGAAAGCAGGAGCAAUCUUGUGAGUAAAGUGGCGUACGGGUGAGUAACACGUGGAUUAUCUACCCUCUUGUGGGGGAUAACCCUGGGAAACCGGGGCUAAUACCGCAUAAGCUCGAGAGAGGAAAGCAGCAAUGCGCAGGAGGAGGAGUCCGCGGCCGAUUAGCUAGUUGGUAGGGUAAAAGCCUACCAAAGCUACGAUCGGUAGCCGGCCUGAGAGGGCACACGGCCACACUGGCACUGAAACACGGGCCAGACUCCUACGGGAGGCAGCAGUGGGGAAUCUUGCACAAUGGGGGCAACCCUGAUGCAGCGACGCCGCGUGAGCGAUGAAGCCCUUCGGGGUGUAAAGCUCUUUCGGCAGGGAAGAUUAUGACGGUACCUGCAGAAGCAGCUGCGGCUAACUACGUGCCAGCAGCCGCGGUAAUACGUAGGCAGCAAGCGUUGUUCGGAGUUACUGGGCGUAAAGGGUGUGUAGGCGGUUCUCUAAGUCUGGUGUGAAAUCUCCCGGCUCAACUGGGAGGGUGCGCCGAAAACUGGAGGACUAGAGUGCGGGAUGGGAGAGUGGAAUUCCUGGUGUAGCGGUGAAAUGCGUAGAUAUCAGGAGGAACACCUGUGGUGUAGACGGCUCUCUGGACCGCAACUGACGCUGAGACACGAAAGCGUGGGUAGCAAACAGGAUUAGAUACCCUAGUAGUCC